Molecule: ribosomal RNA, 442 nt
Filed under: uncultured bacterium
Lineage: Bacteria
Description: partial 16S ribosomal RNA
Rfam family: Bacterial small subunit ribosomal RNA
Source: RNAcentral
CCUACGGGAGGCAGCAGUGGGGGAUAUUGGGCAAUGGGCGCAAGCCUGACCCAGCAACGCCGCGUGAAGGAAGAAGGCUUUCGGGUUGUAAACUUCUGUUCUCAGGGACGAAGAAAGUGACGGUCCCUGAGGAAUACGCCACGGCUAACUACGUGCCAGCAGCCGCGGUAAUACGUAGGGAGCGAGCGUUGUUCGGAAUUACUGGGUGUAAGGGGAGCGUAGGCGGGAGGGAAAGUUGAAUGUUAAAUCUACCGGCUUAACUGGUAGCUGCGUUCAAAACUUCUUGUCUUGAGUGAAGUAGAGGCAGGCGGAAUUCCUAGUGUAGCGGUGAAAUGCGUAGAUAUUAGGAGGAACACCAGUGGCGAAGGCGGCCUGCUGGGCUUUAACUGACGCUGAGGCUCGAAAGCGUGGGGAGCAAACAGGAUUAGAUACCCUUGUAGUC